RNAcentral lists this ribosomal RNA (492 nucleotides) under uncultured bacterium. RNAcentral describes it as "partial 16S ribosomal RNA". It matches the Rfam family "Bacterial small subunit ribosomal RNA", at positions 29 to 507 of the family's 1533-position model. The record is from RNAcentral.
AGUGAACGCUGGCGGUAGGCCUAACACAUGCAAGUCGAACGGCAGCACAGUAAGAGCUUGCUCUUACGGGUGGCGAGUGGCGGACGGGUGCGGAAUACAUCGGAAUCUACUUUUUCGUGGGGGAUAACGCAGGGAAACUUACGCCAAUACCGCAUACGACCUACGGGUGAAAGCAGGGGAUCUUCGGACCUUGCGCGAUUGAAUGAGCCGAUGUCGGAUUAGCUAGUUGGCGGGGUAAAGGCGCACCAAGGCGACGAUCCGUAGCUGGUCUGAGAGGAUGAUCAGCCACACUGGAACUGAGACACGGUCCAGACUCCUACGGGAGGCAGCAGUGGGGAAUAUUGGACAAUGGGCGAAAGCCUGAUCCAGCCAUACCGCGUGGGUGAAGAAGGCCUUCGGGUUGUAAAGCCCUUUUGUUGGGAAAGAAAAGCAGCAGGUUAAUACCCCGCUGUUCUGACGGUACCCAAAGAAUAAGCACCGGCUAACUUCGUG